Molecule: ribosomal RNA, 428 nt
Filed under: uncultured bacterium
Lineage: Bacteria
Description: bacterial SSU rRNA
Rfam family: Bacterial small subunit ribosomal RNA
Source: RNAcentral
UGGGGAAUCUUCCGCAAUGGGCGAAAGCCUGACGGAGCAACGCCGCGUGAGUGAUGACGGCCUUCGGGUUGUAAAGCUCUGUGAUCGGGGACGAACGGUCGGCAGACGAAUAAUCUGCUGAAUUGACGGUACCCGAAUAGCAAGCCACGGCUAACUACGUGCCAGCAGCCGCGGUAAUACGUAGGUGGCAAGCGUUGUCCGGAAUUAUUGGGCGUAAAGCGCGCGCAGGCGGCUUCUUAAGUCCAUCUUAAAAGUGCGGGGCUUAACCCCGUGAUGGGAUGGAAACUGAGAGGCUGGAGUAUCGGAGAGGAAAGUGGAAUUCCUAGUGUAGCGGUGAAAUGCGUAGAGAUUAGGAAGAACACCGGUGGCGAAGGCGACUUUCUGGACGACAACUGACGCUGAGGCGCGAAAGCGUGGGGAGCAAACAG